GCGCGCUUAGCUCAGUGGUAGAGCACAUCCUUCACACGGAUGGGGUCGCAGGUUCAAGUCCUGCAGCGCGCACCA
This 75-nucleotide transfer RNA is filed under the name Verrucomicrobiota bacterium. RNAcentral's name for it is "tRNA-Val". It matches the Rfam family "tRNA". From Rfam's summary of the family: Transfer RNA (tRNA) molecules are approximately 80 nucleotides in length. The record is from RNAcentral. RNAcentral also lists the same sequence under 2 other names. Lineage: Bacteria; Pseudomonadati; Verrucomicrobiota.